This 368-nucleotide long non-coding RNA is filed under the name Musa acuminata (dwarf banana). Its description in RNAcentral is "long non-coding RNA (MACU_LNC003165)". Lineage: Eukaryota; Viridiplantae; Streptophyta; Magnoliopsida; Zingiberales; Musaceae. The record is from RNAcentral.
ACGUUGCCGAGGAGGCUGUCUUGGAUAGUCUCCCUCGAAUUGCUACAGAAGAAGAAGAAGAGGCAGCUCGGAGUUCGCAUGACGAUGCGGCCUUCUUCUCUGAGAACGCAGCUGGUUCAUCUACCGGCCACGAAUUCGUCGCUAGUGCUCCUAAGUCAGUUCAUACGAAGACAGGCAAGUCGAACAGCCAAAAUCACAAGAAAGGAAGAAAGACGAAGAGAGAGUCUACCGAUCGAGCUUCCUUACCAGCUGAUAAGUUGAACGGGAUCAGCAACGUGAGUCGAAUAAAUUCAAAGAUCGAGCGUGUGGAAGCAUGGAGGUGAAGCUGCUCUCUCUCUCUCUCUCUCUCUUCUUGCCCCUCUUAAUUU